This 1203-nucleotide long non-coding RNA is filed under the name Anolis carolinensis (green anole). RNAcentral's name for it is "lncRNA (ENSACAG00000042640.1)". Lineage: Eukaryota; Metazoa; Chordata; Lepidosauria; Squamata; Anolidae. The record is from RNAcentral.
AUGGUACCGAGACAGCUUUGGUCGCCUAAGUCAAUGAUCUACGCCGGGAACUGGACAAGGGGAGUGUGUCCUUGCUGGUUCUGCUGGACCUCUCAGCGGCCUUCGAUACCGUCGAUCACGGUAUCCUUCUGGGGCGCCUCGCUGGGAUGGGUCUCGGAGGCACUGUUUUGCAGUGGCUCCGGUCCUUCCUGGAGGGUCGUUCCCAGAUGGUGUCACUGGGGGACACCUGCUCGGCUCCACAGCCAUUGUCCUGUGGGGUCCCUGCAGGGGUCGAUAUUGUCCCCCAUGUUGUUCAACAUAUACAUGAAGCCACUGGGAGAGAUCAUCCAGAGUUUCGGGGUCCGGUGCCAUCUGUACGCAGAUGAUGUCCAGCUCUGUCACUCCUUCCCACCUGUCACUAAGGAGGCUGUUCAGGUCCUGAACUGGUGUCUGGCCGCUGUGUCGGACUGGAUGAGGGCGAACAAAUUGAAACUGAAUCCAGACAAGACAGAGGUCCUCCUGGUCAGUCGUAAGGCUGAACAGGGAAUAGGGUUACAGCCUGUGUUGGACGGGGUCGCACUCCCCCUGAAGAUGCAGGUUCGCAGUCUGGGGGUCCUCCUGGACUCAUCGCUGAGCCUGGAGCCCCAGGUCUCGGCGGUGGCCAGGGGAGCCUUCGCACAACUAAGACUUGUGCGCCAGCUGCGCCCGUUCCUUGGGAGGUCUGACUUGGCCACGGUGGUCCACGCUCUGGUUACAUCCCAUUUGGACUACUGCAACGCUCUCUACGUGGGGUUGCCUUUGAAGAUGGCCCGGAAGCUCCAAUUAGUACAACGGGCGGCAGCCAGAUUAAUAACUGGGGCGGCUUAUAGGGAGCGUACCACCUCCCUACUUAGCCAGCUCCACUGGCUGCCGAUAUGCUACCGAGCCCAAUUCAAAGUGCUGGUUUUGACCUAUAAAGCCUUACACGGUUUUGGCCCAAUCUACUUGUCCGAACGUAUCUCCUCCUAUGAGCCAGGAAGAUCCCUAAGGUCAUCUGGUGAGGCCCUGCUCUCGGUCCCGCCUGCCUCACAAGCGCGGCUGGUGGGAACGAGGGACAGGACCUUCUCGGUGGUGGCUCCCCGGCCGUGGAACACCCUCCCCAGAGAAAUACGGCAAGCCCCAACCCUUUUGAGUUUUAGAAAAGCCCUGAAAACAUGGAUAUGUGCCCAGGCUUUCGAAGAUUAA